GAUGAACGCUGGCGGCGUGCCCAAUACAUGCAAGUCGAGCGAACAGACGAGGAGCUUGCUCCUCUGACGUUAGCGGCGGACGGGUGAGUAACACGUGGAUAACCUACCUAUAGGACUGGGAUAACUUCGGGAAACCGGAGCUAAUACCGGAUAAUAUAUUGAACCGCAUGGUUCAAUAGUGAAAGACGGUUUUGCUGUCACUUAUAGAUGGAUCCGCGCCGCAUUAGCUAGUUGGUAAGGUAACGGCUUACCAGGGCAACGAUGCGUAGCCGACCUGAGAGGGUGAUCGGCCACACUGGAACUGAGACACGGUCCAGACUCCUACGGGAGGCAGCAGUAGGGAAUCUUCCGCAAUGGGCGAAAGCCUGACGGAGCAACGCCGCGUGAGUGAUGAAGGUCUUCGGAUCGUAAAACUCUGUUAUUAGGGAAGAACAAAUGUGUAAGUAACUAUGCACGUCUUGACGGUACCUAAUCAGAAAGCCACGGCUAACUACGUG
RNAcentral lists this ribosomal RNA (497 nucleotides) under uncultured bacterium. Its description in RNAcentral is "partial 16S ribosomal RNA". It matches the Rfam family "Bacterial small subunit ribosomal RNA", at positions 28 to 507 of the family's 1533-position model. The record is from RNAcentral.